AAAUGUACUUAGGUGGGAAAGACGGGAACUUGGGAAGUGGUGGACAUGGCUUCUUUGGGAUCACCACUACUGGUGGCUUGUAUAUCGGUUUGUAGAUGGGGACCGGUGGCUUGUAGAUAGGCACAGAGGGCUUGUGAAUUGGCGGUGGACAUGGCUUCUUUGGCUUGUAAAUAGGCACUGGUGGCUUGUAUAUGGGCUUAUGUGCGAUCUUUGGUGGAAAAGGCUUCUUGUGGAUCACCACUGGUGGCUUGUGUAUAGGCACCGGAGCCUUGUAGAUAGGCACUGGAGCCUUGUAGAUGGGCUUAUGUGAAAUCUUUGGUGGACACGGCUUCUU
This 334-nucleotide long non-coding RNA is filed under the name Capsella grandiflora. RNAcentral describes it as "long non-coding RNA (CGRA_LNC000977)". Lineage: Eukaryota; Viridiplantae; Streptophyta; Magnoliopsida; Brassicales; Brassicaceae. The record is from RNAcentral.